Molecule: non-coding RNA, 594 nt
Organism: Eptesicus fuscus (big brown bat)
Lineage: Eukaryota; Metazoa; Chordata; Mammalia; Chiroptera; Vespertilionidae
Source: the annotation of a RefSeq genome assembly
AUGGCCUGGACUCCUCUGCUCCUCGCGCUCCUCUCUCUCUGCACAGGGUCCCUCUCCCAGCCUGUGCUGACCCAGCCGCCCUCCCUCUCUGCAUCUCUGGGAGCCACAGCCCGUGUCACCUGCACCCUGAGCAGUGGCUCCAAUGUUGGUGAUUACUGGAUAUACUGGUUUCAGCAGAAGCCAUGGAGCCCUCCCCGGUAUCUCCUGUGCUACUACUCAGACUCAAAAAAGUACCAGGGCUCCGGGGUCCCCAGCCGCUUCUCUGGAUCCAAAGACGCCUCGGCCAAUGCGGGGCUCCUGCUCAUCUCGGGGCUGCAGCCUGAGGACGAGGCUGACUAUUACUGUAACACAUGGGACAGCAGCUCUAAGAGUUACACAGUGGUCCAGACCCACAGGGAAGCUGGAGGGCCUCCCCGAGUUACCAUGGCUGCUCACCUGGCCUUGGAGACGCCCCUGAGCGAGUUCCUGGAAACUCACCCCCAUCGUGACCUGAACAGCCCCCAUGAGCCCCGCCAGCCGGAUCGACGCCUCAUCACGUGUGAGGUGGGAUCAGAGCUCACUGGGCACGAACUUGGCAGCAUCUUCCUGGACUGA